GGUGUAGUAUGAUUUGGAUAUUUUGCAAAAAUAUUUUAGAUGAUUAGUAUUAUCAUCCAUACUU
This 64-nucleotide transfer RNA is filed under the name Schmidtea mediterranea. RNAcentral describes it as "tRNA-Cys". The record is from RNAcentral. Lineage: Eukaryota; Metazoa; Platyhelminthes; Tricladida; Dugesiidae.